UCCGAUUGUAAUGGACACAUGUAAUACUGCUGAUGAGCUGGCUGCUGACGGGCUGGUCCUGGGGCUGGCUGCUGAUGGACUGGUCCUGGGGCUGGCUGAGGGUCAAUCUCAUCCUCUUCUUCCAACUCAUUGUCAUGAUCCAAUUUGCACCUGGCUGGGGUAGAGUGUGGGAAAAUACAGCAUUUUUUACAAUGUAUCGAAAUAAUGUAUUAUUAUAACAUUGUGCAGGUUCCCGCAAGACAUUGUGUAGUUUCACACACUACGAAGGGUAAAGAGUGCGAGAAAAGCGGGAGACAGGCAGACAGGCAGGGAGAUAGACAGGUUCUUGGCGCUAUGUUGAAACAGCAGGCCCAGGGAGGAGACCCGAACACCACAUAUGUAAUAUGAAUGUGAAGGGGGUGCACAGUGUGCACUCAAUGAAAAUGUGUUCUUUUAAAUGUUCUUCACAGAAAAUGAGCCAAGGCCAAUGAGUCUCAGGUUGAAAAAAGAAUUAAUUGUAUAAUUGUUAUUUUAUUUAAAUAUCGAACACCACACAUGGGUUAAAGUAAAACACACCAGGAGUAGAUUGUAACGUUUGCUUCCAGCUCACACUCUCAAACACAUAGAUCCCCUGAACGCAGCCUACUUUCCAGCUCACACUCUCAAACACAUAGAUCCCCUGAACGCAGCUCACUCUCCAGAUCUCAAUCACCUGAAUACUGAUCACCUGUUCACACACCUGUAUGUCAUUUACACACACUAUUUAGUUCCCCAUCAUUGUGAGGUAUUGUUUGUUUUGAUACACAUUCUAUUCGGAGGUCUGUUCAUUUCCGUUUUAGUCCUCCCGUAUAUUGUAGAUUUUGGCCAUCCUCACUAACAACGCCUUUUUGCCUAUUCCCUGCCUGUACUUUUGCCUAUCAAAUUUCCUGUCAUCAACCUCCUGCCUGAUCUCCUGGACUACAUUGUUAGCAUUUUCCCUGCCUGUACUGUUAGCAUUUUCCCUGCCUGUACUGUUACCUUUUUAGAGUCCCUGUGUAUGACCUUCUGCCUGCCCCUGGACCCAGCUACCUGCCUCCUCCUGUGGUCCUUUACUAAUAAACACCUGCUG
RNAcentral lists this long non-coding RNA (1087 nucleotides) under Salmo salar (Atlantic salmon). RNAcentral describes it as "lncRNA (ENSSSAG00000106263.1)". Lineage: Eukaryota; Metazoa; Chordata; Actinopteri; Salmoniformes; Salmonidae. The record is from RNAcentral.